This 78-nucleotide small RNA is filed under the name Gramella sp. Hel_I_59. RNAcentral's name for it is "Flavo-1 RNA". It matches the Rfam family "Flavo-1 RNA". Lineage: Bacteria; Pseudomonadati; Bacteroidota; Flavobacteriia; Flavobacteriales; Flavobacteriaceae. The record is from RNAcentral.
UUUUUGCGUUAGGGAUAGUAGUGGCAGCUUUUUGGAAGCCUUAGCUGCCAAAAACUAGAACGGAUAGCCCGCCGCCGA